CAGCCGCUCGAAAAAGUCGGUAGUCUAUGUCCGAACGUCACCCCACCGCGGAUAUGUCCGUCUUCUUCCUCUACUUAUUGCCAGACCUUCUGCGCGAAUGCUGCAAAAGCUUAGGCUGCCGGCUACACCAAGUAACCACACUCCGCCAAUCGAUGCGUGGUGAUUCCAAUAACGUCAAAGCUCAGAGAAUUAGUUCGAUAGAGUUAUUGAUAUUUCGUAAGAAGGCCCUGUGGACACCCUCGCGAUAUUAAAAUUCGACGAUGCUGGUAAAGCUCAAUUUCCUGAUUCUUGUCGCACU
Molecule: long non-coding RNA, 298 nt
Organism: Venturia canescens
Lineage: Eukaryota; Metazoa; Arthropoda; Insecta; Hymenoptera; Ichneumonidae
Exons: 3
Source: RefSeq, a predicted model, not a curated record